CCCGGAGCAGGGAGGAAUGGAGAGGAUGGGACCUCUCAGAGGGGGGGUCUCAUCCUCUAAACAAAUUAUUUAAGCCUCUGCCGGCAACCCCAAGUGACAGACCCCCUAGAAUACUGAACGAGAGAGUGAGAGAGCCGAAGCCUUGGAGCCGAAGGCAAAGGAGCCCUGAAGCUCCAAGAGGAAGGAGGGACUACCAGGGGGAGGUACUGCCCGACUGCAACCGGCCAAGGUAAGGAGCAUUAGGGUAAGGGUUUAACAGGGGUAAAGAAAUUCCACUGUGGGGUGCUCUUCCCCUCUGUGUCAACAGUGAAACAGAGGGGAGGAAACCGACACAGGGGAGGGGAAAAAGGCCUACAGUCCACUGGUCAGGCCGGACUCAAAGGUCGUGCGCCCGACGACCACCCGGGCCGAACCCAACCGGGCUCGGCCUGCGGAUGAACCGGACACCGCGGCUUCGGCCGCCGGUACCUUGGAGUUCGGGGGGCAACCCGGGCCGCCAGAUCUGGCCGGGACGACAACAGAGGCGGCCACAGGGCCGCCAGCCCCGGCCGGACCACCACCUCUUCUCCGGCAAGGGGUGGUGGUUCCGGAGGGAAGGACCGAAAAAAAAAAAAGGAAAAUGAACUCACCGGAUCUUGAGGCUUCACCCCCUCCGGCCAUACCUGGCCGUGGACGGAGCGGGUGGAGGCCCUCGAUUAAAGCCGGAUUCCGACCCAUCUCCGAACCCUUCCCCUCUCCGGCAUCACUUCGGAGGGAGGAAGGGCUUCCCUUCCGCCGGUGCACCGGGGGGAAACCCCCACGUCGAUCGGUGGAUCGGGGGGAGCCUCGCCUCCCCGGCCGCCUGCAAGAGAAGAAAAGGGAAAAGGAGAGAGGGAAAGAAGGAAGAAAGACCGAGGCCGGAGGGAGCCGAGGGCUCGACCGGAGAGUAGGGUCUCGGCAGGGUCAACAAAGAAAGAAGGAAAGAGGGAGAGAGAGAGAGGGAAAGAGAGGGAGUGACCGAGAGGGGGAAGGCCACAGAUCUGGCCGGAGGAGAAGAAGGGGAGCUGGAGGAGAGGGCCGGAAGCAUGGGCUUCGGUGGGAGGUUGAAGGAGAGAACGAGAGAGAGAGGAGGAAACGGAGGAGAGAGGGGAGGAAGGUAGGUGAAGAGGCGGAAGCCUCUAGAAGGGGGGAGAAAGAAAACAUGGUAACGGGUUUGCGGGUCGGAUCUGAACCCGCAACCCGUUAAGCUUAAAUAAAUAUAUAUAUAUAUAUAUGUAUAUAUGUGUGUAUAUAUAUAUAUAUAUAUAAUUAGAAUGGGUUAGGUGAACCCAAUAAAACCAGACCCAGUCUAUUUGGAUGAACCCGGAUGAGGGAUGGGCUAAAUUUCAGGUAGAAAAGGAAAUAACAUAUUAUUAUUAUGACAUGAUUGUAGGUGACUUAGGACUCGUCACCAGGACGCGGGAGACCUAGGAAAAAGGCAAAUUACUAUCACCACCAGUGACAGCUGCCAGAAGCAUUUUUCUUUUGCAACAGGGCUUCUUUAUUUUUGGGGAUGAUAUAAAUAAACUUUUGUGUAUAUAAACUAUGUAGAAGCUCUGUACUUUAUAUGAACCAGUGGGUUGUAAUACCUUCUUUUGAUAUAUACAAGUUACACUGCUUUUGACUA
Phoenix dactylifera (date palm) is the source of this 1645-nucleotide non-coding RNA. The record is from RefSeq and is a predicted model, not a curated record. NCBI's taxonomy places the organism in Eukaryota, Viridiplantae, Streptophyta, Magnoliopsida, Arecales, Arecaceae.